Molecule: long non-coding RNA, 649 nt
Organism: Saccostrea cuccullata (small rock oyster)
Lineage: Eukaryota; Metazoa; Mollusca; Bivalvia; Ostreida; Ostreidae
Exons: 3
Source: RefSeq, a predicted model, not a curated record
CUUGUGUUUAUGGGACCCUGGUUGCAUAUUAUAAAAAUUCUUUUAUCAUGUCUAUAGAUGUAUUCUCAUGGUGAAUAUGUAGACGUCGAUACUCGAUGCAGAUCAGUGUACGUUGGAUCAGAGAAGGUGAUAUUGGACCAAGUCAGCCAUUCCAAGUUUCUAACUGGAACAAAGAUUUGUCACAGAUACCAGACGUAGGAUCUUUUUGAUGUCUUAGUUUACCUCAUGCAGAAGUGUCGGUGGAGUUCUGCAUGUGUAUUAAACUACAAGCAGGACAAUCAAUGGUUAUCAUCUUCAUAUGGAUAUAAUGGAGCAUGUAAGCAUUGUGUUGCUUUCAUUUCCUCAUUGUCCAGUUUUUUGUGAAAGGCACAGGGACCGAAGCACAGAGGCCUGUACAGACUUACAGUGUGUCUGGGAUAAGCCAAAGAAAAAGUCCGUACCAAGUGAAAUAAGCAAGAUAGAUUGAGGAUUGACCAGACCCAACAACCAUCCAUUAUGCCCACAUUGUGUAAUAUCCAGACAUAAAGCAUGCUUGUUUUGAGAUACACACAGAAAUUCAGACAUUUGAGAGCAUUGGCAAUAAAUUUUAUUAUAGCGUUGAGUAUUAAAUCAUUAUACAUUGUACAUAAAGAGUACCUUAAAUUUUGUA